RNAcentral lists this ribosomal RNA (338 nucleotides) under uncultured bacterium. RNAcentral describes it as "partial 16S ribosomal RNA". It matches the Rfam family "Bacterial small subunit ribosomal RNA", at positions 338 to 693 of the family's 1533-position model. The record is from RNAcentral.
CCUACGGGAGGCAGCAGUGGGGAAUAUUGCACAAUGGGGGAAACCCUGAUGCAGCGACGCCGCGUGAGUGAAGAAGUAAUUCGUUACGUAAAGCUCUAUCAGCAGGGAAGAAAAUGACGGUACCUGAGUAAGAAGCACCGGCUAACUACGUGCCAGCAGCCGCGGUAAUACGUAGGGGGCAAGCGUUAUCCGGAUUUACUGGGUGUAAAGGGAGCGUAGACGGGGCGCCAAGUCUGGAGUGAAAUGCCGCGGCUUAACUGCGGAACUGUCUUUGAAACUGGCGAACUAGAGUGGGGGCGGGGAAAGCGGAAUGCGUAGUGUAGCGGUGAAAUGCGUAG